This 278-nucleotide long non-coding RNA is filed under the name Elaeis guineensis (African oil palm). Its description in RNAcentral is "long non-coding RNA (EGUI_LNC049374)". Lineage: Eukaryota; Viridiplantae; Streptophyta; Magnoliopsida; Arecales; Arecaceae. The record is from RNAcentral.
GGGCUUGAAUCGGCUCAUGAAAAUGCCUAAAGCACAUAAACUGUCCAACAACGCCCAUUUCAAGGUCUGAUCUUCGGAAACAAGGAAUGAAUCGGGGACUUGAGCGGCAUGGCUCCGCUUUGAUGUCGGUCUCUUUCUCUUUCCGGCUUCGUGAUAGAUCUUAGGCCAAUCAUCACAGGGAGUUCUCUUUAACUUAAGCUCCGGCUAAGUCAAGACUUCAGAUGGUUGCGUAAAAGAGCAACGAAGCCAAGGAAGAUCGAGAAAGAUCCAGAGCGGCU